GUCGAGAAUCUUUCACAAUGGGGGCAACCCUGAUGGAGCGACGCCGCGUGGAGGAUAAGGUCUUCGGAUUGUAAACUCCUGUCAUGCGUGAACAAGGUUGCUUGGAUAAUACCUGAGCAAAUUGAUGGUAGCGCAAGAGGAAGAGACGGCUAACUCUGUGCCAGCAGCCGCGGUAAUACAGAGGUCUCAAGCGUUGUUCGGAAUCACUGGGCGUAAAGGGUGCGUAGGUGGCGUGGCAAGUCAGAUGUGAAAGCCCGGGGCUCAACCUAGGAAAUGCAUCCGAUACUGCCAUGCUAGAGUACUGGAGGGGUGACUAGAAUUCUCGGUGUAGCAGUGAAAUGCGUAGAUAUCGAGAGGAAUACCAAAGGCGUAGGCAGGUCACUGGACAGUUACUGACACUGAGGCACGAAGGCCAGGGGAGCGAACGGGAUUAGAAACCCUUGUAGUCC
Molecule: ribosomal RNA, 449 nt
Filed under: uncultured bacterium
Lineage: Bacteria
Description: partial 16S ribosomal RNA
Rfam family: Bacterial small subunit ribosomal RNA
Source: RNAcentral